CUGAGUUUUGGGUUAUCUUCUCGAUACCCGAUCUCCCACCCUUUGUUUAACUACAAUUUGUUGCUUUGGCAGGACUGUCUUUUUUUCGAAAGGGACUGCCGGAGGAGGGUUUCACGACCACCUCUGGAUUGAUUUGCCUGUCAAUAGCCAAUUGAAAUUCUUUUUUAAUUAUGUCGUCUGACUUCUUUAAAUAAAUUUUUAUUUA
This 205-nucleotide unclassified non-coding RNA is filed under the name uncultured fungus. RNAcentral's name for it is "sequence contains ITS1, 5.8S rRNA gene". RNAcentral also lists the same sequence under 1 other name. The record is from RNAcentral. Lineage: Eukaryota; Fungi.